AUGGAUGAUGUGGACAAUGUCCUAAAGACUAUCAACUUCUUUAGGGAGAUGAAAGCGAUAAACAAGGAAUUCUUCUGCGACAUACAGCUUGAUGAGUCUGACAAAGUGAAGAACAAGUUUUGGGCGAACGGAUGCUACCGAGGGGCAUACCAAGACAUUGGUGACUGCAUGACAUAUGACACCACAUUUAAGACCAACAAGUACCAUGUACCACUUCGGGUGUUCGUGGUUACUAACAACCACUUGCAAACUACAUUCUUUGCUUUCACCUUGAUAAGAGAUGAGGAUGCAGAUUCACUCAGGUGGCUGUUCGAAACAAUUUUAAGGGAAUACCUCACAUACCUGUACAACCUCCACAAAACCUUUAAGGAUGAAUUCACAACAAUCCACAACUGGCCCCUCAUGCCAACUAAGUUUGAGGCUGCCUGGAACACACUCAUGGAUAAGUACAACGUCCAUGACGAUGCCAUGAUGGUGUCAAUGUGGAAUGUGGUUGCAAACCCUAUGGAAGAAAUAUACGACUACGACUGCAAGAUGAACCAUCUGGGAGCUAUUGACACAUACGACAAUGAGGAGGAUGAGGAGCAACAGCAACCAGAGCCUACCCAUGGGCAAACUCAAGAGCAGCAACAUGCUCACAUGCAAGAUCAUGAGCUUGGCAGUGUUGGGAGUAAGAGUAAGACGCAAGCAGCAAAUGCAGCAGCUAAAAAGCCAUUGCGCCCCGUCAGACACGUGGAAUUCGGCCCGAAUGGCAAACCUCUCAGGAUAAGGGCGUGUGGAUUCUGCAAUUUGGUGACCAAUCAUAAGUACCGCACAUGCCCACAACGCACAGAUGCUGACAAUGUCGACAGGCAAAAGUUGUAG
Molecule: ribosomal RNA, 864 nt
Filed under: Triticum aestivum (bread wheat)
Lineage: Eukaryota; Viridiplantae; Streptophyta; Magnoliopsida; Poales; Poaceae
Description: partial small subunit ribosomal RNA
Source: RNAcentral